UGGGGAAUGAUUGCACAAUGGGCGAAAGCCUGAUGCAGCAACGCCGCGUGAGUGAUGAAGGCCUUCGGGUUGUAAAGCUCUGUCUUUUGGGACGAUAAUGACGGUACCAAAGGAGGAAGCCACGGCUAACUACGUGCCAGCAGCCGCGGUAAUACGUAGGUGGCAAGCGUUGUCCGGAUUUACUGGGCGUAAAGGAUGCGUAGGCGGAUUUUUAAGUGAGAUGUGAAAACCCUAAGCUUAACUUGGGGACUGCAUUUCAUACUGGAAAUCUAGAGUGCGGGAGAGGAGAAUGGAAUUCCUAGUGUAGCGGUGAAAUGCGUAGAGAUUAGGAAGAACACCAGUGGCGAAGGCGAUUCUCUGGACCGUAACUGACGCUGAGGCAUGAAAGCGUGGGUAGCAAACAGGAUUAGAUACCCUGGUAGUCCACGCCGUAAACGAUGAGUACUAGGUGUAGGAGGUAUCGACCCCUUCUGUGCCGCAGUUAACACAAUAAGUACUCCGCCUGGGAAGUACGAUCGCAAGAUUAAAACUCAAAGGAAUUGACGGGGGUCAUAGCUGUUUUUCCU
This 566-nucleotide ribosomal RNA is filed under the name uncultured bacterium. Its description in RNAcentral is "partial 16S ribosomal RNA". It matches the Rfam family "Bacterial small subunit ribosomal RNA", at positions 355 to 940 of the family's 1533-position model. The record is from RNAcentral.